Molecule: ribosomal RNA, 452 nt
Filed under: uncultured bacterium
Lineage: Bacteria
Description: SSU rRNA
Rfam family: Bacterial small subunit ribosomal RNA
Source: RNAcentral
AGAGCGAACGCUGGCGGCAGACUUAACACAUGCAAGUCGAGCGGGCGUAGCAAGUACGGUCAGCGGCAGACGGGUGAGUAACGCGUGGGAACGUACCUUUUGGUUCGGAACAACACAGGGAAACUUGUGCUAAUACCGGAUAAGCCCUUACGGGGAAAGAUUUAUCGCCGAAAGAUCGGCCCGCGUCUGAUUAGCUAGUUGGUGAGGUAACGGCUCACCAAGGCGACGAUCAGUAGCUGGUCUGAGAGGAUGAUCAGCCACAUUGGGACUGAGACACGGCCCAAACUCCUACGGGAGGCAGCAGUGGGGAAUAUUGGACAAUGGGCGCAAGCCUGACCCAGCCAUGCCGCGUGAGUGAUGAAGGCCCUAGGGUUGUAAAGCUCUUUUGUGGCGGGAAGAUAAUGACGGUACCGCAAGAAUAAGCCCCGGACUAACUUCGUGCCAGCAGCCGC